RNAcentral lists this unclassified non-coding RNA (173 nucleotides) under uncultured cyanobacterium. RNAcentral's name for it is "partial 16S-23S ribosomal RNA intergenic spacer". The record is from RNAcentral. Lineage: Bacteria; Bacillati; Cyanobacteriota.
CGGUUCGAGUCCGCUUACCUCCACUGAAAACUAUCCUGAUAACCAAAUUCUUGGAGAAAAGUUUGUAGAUGUGACUUGGAAUUGUCUACAUGAAAAGAACCCAGCUUCUUAUCAUCUCUCUAUAGUUGAUAAUAUGCUGGGCUCACAUGGAUUUACUCCAUGGGAAUUCAGUA